AAUGAAGAUUAUCUUCGAGUCCAAAACAGAAGAAAAACACACCUUUAGCACUAAUGGAAAACUAAAAUUCUCAGCACAAGUGUGCACCUCAGCUUUCUUGUGGUCACACCCAUGGAAGAAGUACCUUCCACCAUUGACUCCUCAUCCUUGGAAGAAGUACCUUCCACCAUUGACUCCUCACCCGUGGAAGAAGUACUUUCCACACCCCUGGAAGAAGUCACCAGUUUAUAUGCCUCCAGUGUAUUCAUCCCCACCAACUCCAGUUUAUACCAAGCCACCAACCCCGGUUUAUACCAAGCCACCAACGCCAGUUUAUACUAAGCCCCCAACGCCAGUCUAUACUAAGCCACCAACGCCAGUUUAUACUAAGCCCCCAACACCGGUCUAUUCUAAGCCACCAACGCCAGUUUAUACUCAUCCACCUACGCCAGUUUAUACUAAGCCACCAACGCCAGUUUAUACACCAAAACCAGUUUACAAGCAUCCACCAAAGCCAGUAUACUCACAUCCCCCGACUCCAGUCUAUACACAUCCACCAAAGCCCGUUUAUACUCAUCCCCCAACUCCAGUUUAUACACAUCCACCAAAGCCGGUUUACACUCAUCCCCCAACUCCAGUUUAUACACAUCCACCAAAGCCAGUUUAUAGUCACCCCCCAACUCCAGUAUACACACAUCCACCCAAGCCGGUUUAUACUCAUCCCCCAACUCCCAAAUACUCCAAGCCACCAACGCCAGUUUAUACCAAGCCACCAACGCCAGUUUAUACACAUCCACCUACGCCAGUAUAUACUAAGCCACCAACGCCAGUUUAUACACAUCCUCCAACGCCAGUUUAUACACAUCCUCCAACUCCGGUUUAUUCACAUCCGCCUAUCUAUAAGAAGCCUUGCCCGCCCAUUGUUCCUCUGCCUAAGCUUCCUCCAAAAUAUUUCCACCACCCAAAAGUACCCAAGAUUCCUAAAAAAUUCUUCCCCCACCCAAAAGUACCCAAGAUUCCUAAAAAAUUCUACCCCCACCCUAAAUUGACCUUCCCACCG
RNAcentral lists this long non-coding RNA (1039 nucleotides) under Daucus carota (carrot). Its description in RNAcentral is "long non-coding RNA (DCAR_LNC000700)". Lineage: Eukaryota; Viridiplantae; Streptophyta; Magnoliopsida; Apiales; Apiaceae. The record is from RNAcentral.